GAUAAAAGAAUCUCUUAAAGGUAAAAACGGAGGAGAAAGCUUUGAUGGCAGGAGCCAAUUUUGGAUCCAAGCUUGACGGCGGGAGCCAAUUUCGGAUCCAAGAUGAAAGAUUGGAGAAAUUCAGAAUUAAGGUUAAGAAAUGGGAGGAGAGAAUACAGUUUUUUUAAGGAGGUUUUUGAGAAGGAUUAGAGGGGAACUUCAUGCUUCGGGAAGAAAAAAAGACAGAGAAUUGGGUUUUUUUUUUCUUCAUAGGGUUUUGGGAAGACUAAGGCAAUUGUUGCCGAAGAGUCGAAGUGUUGUAAUGGUGAAUCGGGAUUUUUAAUGAAGUGGGUUUGAUUACUCUUGACUGUUUUGUAAAAUCGAGUUAUGUCUGUGAUGAAGAAUUAAAAGGGUGUCUAUAGGAUUGAGUGUGCGGAAUGAAUGAAAUUUUUUGGGUUAAUCUAACGAGACAGUCAGUGGAUACAAUAUCGUGAGAGCAAAGCGGUAUCAAAGAUGAGC
This 498-nucleotide long non-coding RNA is filed under the name Physcomitrium patens. RNAcentral describes it as "long non-coding RNA (PPAT_LNC010190)". Lineage: Eukaryota; Viridiplantae; Streptophyta; Bryopsida; Funariales; Funariaceae. The record is from RNAcentral.